RNAcentral lists this ribosomal RNA (209 nucleotides) under uncultured bacterium. RNAcentral describes it as "partial 16S ribosomal RNA". It matches the Rfam family "Bacterial small subunit ribosomal RNA", at positions 1284 to 1500 of the family's 1533-position model. The record is from RNAcentral.
GUUCUCAGUUCGGAUCGGAGUCUGCAACCCGACUCCGUGAAGCUGGAUUCGCUAGUAAUCGCGCAUCAGCCAUGGCGCGGUGAAUACGUUCCCGGGCCUUGUACACACCGCCCGUCAAGCCAUGGGAGCCGGGGGUGCUUGAAGUGCGUCGCCGCGAGGCGCGCCCUAGAGCAAAACCGGUGACUGGGGCUAAGUCGUAACAAGGUAGC